Molecule: long non-coding RNA, 406 nt
Organism: Pieris rapae (cabbage white)
Lineage: Eukaryota; Metazoa; Arthropoda; Insecta; Lepidoptera; Pieridae
Exons: 3
Source: RefSeq, a predicted model, not a curated record
UAGUUUUAUUACAGUCUCUUCAUUUGCAGAAUCUUUUAACUAAAAUAUAAUAUUGUAGUUAUAAAAUCUUCAUUAAUUAUGAUAUAAUAGGAAGUGUUUGCUAGUGCACUGUACAAUCCUAAUUACAACAUCACAGUUAAUAUACAGGAGCUAAAUGCCACAGCUACUAAAGGUGCAGGUCUUGGCAUUGUCUCACUCGCAUAGAAGCUCACAACACCAAGAGGGAUAUCAGCGACUGGGGCGCAAACUAACUGCUGUGGUCUCUGGCGUGUGUGGCAGAAUGACCAGUGCUGUGGAACACUCUGCUCCUCAGCAUAAUGCUGAGCCAGGGCCAAUUACAGCCACAGCACACGCGCAUUACACAUUUGAAACGAGCCGAAUGAGAAAAUAAAUUGUAUUAUUAUUA